GAAGGGCAAAAGUCAGAUGGAAUAAAAAUUCCACGCAGCAGGAGCACAUUGCAGAAAUAAAAAGAGCAGAUUCUGAAGCAUCAAGCUAUUAGACUCCUCAGACUCCAAAAGAGUAUAUAGAUUUCUCCAACUCCGUAUAUACAAUUGAAAAUAAAAGAAAGAAGGGGGGUUCUGGUGAGCAAAACAAUGCGUACAUCCCACUAUUAGGUUUUCA
Molecule: unclassified non-coding RNA, 214 nt
Filed under: Hevea brasiliensis (rubber tree)
Lineage: Eukaryota; Viridiplantae; Streptophyta; Magnoliopsida; Malpighiales; Euphorbiaceae
Source: RNAcentral